This 392-nucleotide unclassified non-coding RNA is filed under the name soil metagenome. RNAcentral's name for it is "partial contains 5.8S ribosomal RNA, internal transcribed spacer 2, and large subunit ribosomal RNA". The stretch from base 1 to 122 matches the Rfam family "5.8S ribosomal RNA", at positions 35 to 154 of the family's 154-position model. The record is from RNAcentral.
GAUGAAGAACGCAGCGAAAUGCGAUACUUGGUGUGAAUUGCAGAAUCCCGUGAACCAUCGAGUCUUUGAACGCAAGUUGCGCCCGAAGCCAUUAGGCCGAGGGCACGCCUGCCUGGGCGUCACACGUCGUUGCCCCCCCCAUCUACUCCUUCGGGAUUGCGGGGGGCGGAUGAUGGCCUCCCGUGCGCCUCGCCGCGCGGUUGGCAUAAAUGCCAAGUCCUCGGCGACGCACGCCACGACAAUCGGUGGUUGCGAAACCUCGGUUGCCCGUCGUGUGCGGUCGUCGCGCAUCGAGGGCUCGAAAAAAUUGCCGGGCUCCGGCUCGGCUUUCAACGCGACCCCAGGUCAGGCGGGGUUACCCGCUGAAUUUAAGCAUAUCAAUAAGCGGAGGA